GUUUGGACGGUUUCCAUGCAAAUUGUUCUUGGCCUAAAUGUAUCAUCGUGGUUCUUCGAAAAUAUUUUCUUCUGUAACACUUUCUGUUAGUAGAAUUGGUUGAUCAAGGAUAAUUAUAUUUUAUUUUUCUAAUAUGCGGGUCGUUUGUCACUGAUAAUAACUUACGUGUUUUUUUUAACAAGAUUGUCGGGAAAAUGUCGGGAUAUUUCUUAAAGGUGUACAAAAUACCCCUACACCGUGUCUGCAGCGCGAACUUCCGAGAGGUGGUACAAAAAAGUGAUCUUCGAUCAAUUAGUACCCGGUGUAUAAAAUAUAUUUACUGUCAACUCAGCUUUGAAUAUUAAUUUGUCAGAAAAUAUUCGCUAAAAAAUAUAUUUUCUUUUUGUAAAAAAAAAAAAACGUAAAUUCACAUUAAUCACAAAUUAUUUUCAAGAAUUAACAAACCGCAUUUUCUGGGUGUGGCACGAAAUAACUUUACACCGUCCUGUAUCAUCCUCUCGCGAGACUUCAUCGAGAAGCGCAAAAUAGGAGUUCAAGGAGCGGCAAUGUUUAGAGAGACUGGUGAAAUGUAAUGAAAUGCACAACUUACGCCCAAGAUUGACUCUAAUUCUUCACAUAAACCAUGUUCUCUUUCCCAAAAAUCUUGGUUUCGCUAGGAGUGCAGUAAAGGGAAUGUUGGAAGAAGUGUAGAUAUCAUGGCCACAGGCCAGUGGGCUAGAACCUUGAAGCCUGGCAAGGAUUAUGAGACUGGAAACUCCCAUUGAGACUACCAAAUGAAGAGAAAGUUUCAGACUGUUUAACUCGGACUAAGGGAAAAGAAGCAAAUUACAACAAGGAGAAUAUUGCCGAGAAAGCAAAGACAAGUGAAAAGUCGAGUGAAGAAAAAGCAAACAAGGCUUCACGAUCUGCAACUAGGCCACUGGCGAUGAAGAAGAAAAAUGUACAGCUAAAGAAGAUACAUCAGUGAUCAACUAAAGCUGGGCGACUUAUAUUGGAUUGACGAGGUGCAGGGGGGAUAGUAAUUUGGGUCUGUUUAUCUUUCUGUUUGU
Molecule: long non-coding RNA, 1049 nt
Organism: Saccostrea cuccullata (small rock oyster)
Lineage: Eukaryota; Metazoa; Mollusca; Bivalvia; Ostreida; Ostreidae
Exons: 4
Source: RefSeq, a predicted model, not a curated record